This 995-nucleotide ribosomal RNA is filed under the name uncultured bacterium. Its description in RNAcentral is "bacterial SSU rRNA". It matches the Rfam family "Bacterial small subunit ribosomal RNA", at positions 356 to 1376 of the family's 1533-position model. The record is from RNAcentral.
GGGGAAUAUUGCACAAUGGGGGAAACCCUGAUGCAGCGACGCCGCGUGGAGGAAGAAGGUCUUCGGAUUGUAAACUCCCGUUGUUGGGGAAGAUAAUGACGGUACCCAACAAGGAAGUGACGGCUAACUACGUGCCAGCAGCCGCGGUAAAACGUAGGUCACAAGCGUUGUCCGGAAUUACUGGGUGUAAAGGGAGCGCAGGCGGGAAGACAAGUUGGAAGUGAAAUCUAUGGGCUCAACCCAUAAACUGCUUUCAAAACUGUUUUUCUUGAGUAGUGCAGAGGUAGGCGGAAUUCCCGGUGUAGCGGUGGAAUGCGUAGAUAUCGGGAGGAACACCAGUGGCGAAGGCGGCCUACUGGGCACCAACUGACGCUGAGGCUCGAAAGUGUGGGUAGCAAACAGGAUUAGAUACCCUGGUAGUCCACACCGUAAACGAUGAUUACUAGGUGUUGGAGGAUUGACCCCUUCAGUGCCGCAGUUAACACAAUAAGUAAUCCACCUGGGGAGUACGACCGCAAGGUUGAAACUCAAAGGAAUUGACGGGGGCCCGCACAAGCAGUGGAGUAUGUGGUUUAAUUCGACGCAACGCGAAGAACCUUACCAAGUCUUGACAUCCCUUGACAGACAUAGAAAUAUGUAUUCUCUUCGGAGCAAGGAGACAGGUGGUGCAUGGUUGUCGUCAGCUCGUGUCGUGAGAUGUUGGGUUAAGUCCCGCAACGAGCGCAACCCUUAUGGUCAGUUACUACGCAAGAGGACUCUGGCCAGACUGCCGUUGACAAAACGGAGGAAGGUGGGGAUGACGUCAAAUCAUCAUGCCCUUUAUGACUUGGGCUACACACGUACUACAAUGGCGUUAAACAAAGAGAAGCAAGACCGCGAGGUGGAGCAAAACUCAGAAACAACGUCCCAGUUCGGACUGCAGGCUGCAACUCGCCUGCACGAAGUCGGAAUUGCUAGUAAUCGUGGAUCAGCAUGCCACGGUGAAUACGUUCCCG